CAUGAGGGAUUCCACAGUGAUUCCCCAGAGGAACCACAGAGUUGGGAUGAGGACAGUGCAAGUGUGAGAGUGCUGGGUGUGAGGGUGCUGGGUGUGAGGGCACCAGGUGUGAGGGUGCUGGGUGUGAGGGCACCAGGUGUGAGGGUGCUGGUUGCGAGGGCACCAGGUGUGAGGGUGCUGGGUGCGAGGGCACCAGGUGAGAGGGUGCUGGGUGUGAGGGCACCACGUGUGAGGGUGCUGGGUGCGAGGGCACCAGGUGUGAGGGUGCUGGUUGCGAGGGCACCAGGUGUGAGGGUGCUGGGUGCGAGGGCACCAGGUGAGAGGGUGCUGGGUGUGAGGGCACCACGUGUGAGGGUGCUGGGUGUGAGGGCACCAGGUGUGAGGGUGCUGGCUGUGAGGGCACCAGGUGAGAGGGUGCUGGGUGCGAGGGCACCAGGUGAGAGGGUGCUGGGUGCGAGGGCACCGGGUGUGAGGGUGCUGGGUGCGAGGGCACCGGGUGUGAGGGUGCUGGGUGUGAGGGCACCGGGUGAGAGGGUGCUGGGUGCGAGGGCACCAGGUGUGAGGGUGCUGGGUGCAUGCAAGGAUCUUGCCCAGGAGGGAAGAGAGCUUUUGAUUGACAGGAGGGAAACAUCCUCUCAGAAGUCAAGGGAUGGCCAGAGUGUAGUUAAUGUGUUGCCAAAGGAUCCUUGUGUCCUCAUGAGCUCAGAGAGUGAGGCAUGAGAACUUGAGGUAGGCCGCAGUAGUGUUGGCCGUGGUGGCCAUGCAAACAUAAUGAACAGAGUGACAAGCAGAGUGGAGGAUCUUUAGGACC
RNAcentral lists this long non-coding RNA (811 nucleotides) under Pan troglodytes (chimpanzee). RNAcentral describes it as "long non-coding RNA NONPTRT008259". Lineage: Eukaryota; Metazoa; Chordata; Mammalia; Primates; Hominidae. The record is from RNAcentral.